Molecule: microRNA precursor, 75 nt
Filed under: Xyrichtys novacula (pearly razorfish)
Lineage: Eukaryota; Metazoa; Chordata; Actinopteri; Labriformes; Labridae
Rfam family: mir-23 microRNA precursor family
Source: RNAcentral
UGGUUAUGUGGGUCUCUGGCAUGAUGAUUUGGGACAGAAUGUAAAAAUCACAUUGCCAGGGAUUACUACACUGCC